Molecule: long non-coding RNA, 370 nt
Filed under: Carica papaya (papaya)
Lineage: Eukaryota; Viridiplantae; Streptophyta; Magnoliopsida; Brassicales; Caricaceae
Description: long non-coding RNA (CPAP_LNC005688)
Source: RNAcentral
GAAACUUACCGGCGGGGUGUCUCCGAGUGCGGUGGCUCCGUUGGUUCUCUUUCAUGGCUGGAAUUCUUCUCUGGCUAACCUACACCAGAAAGAGACGAUGAACACAAUGGUCAAAGAAUCGUGUAAAAUGAAAAAGAGAAGGGGGUCAUCGGAGAGGGUUUAGGAUUUUGGUCGCCGCAGCUCCGUCGGACUUUACCUGCAGUUUCUAACUCACCCGCCAUCCCUUUUACUCCGAUAUGGCCAUAAGGAGACUCAAAAUUGAAUUUUGAGUGGAGAGGAAAAAAUUUUACUUUUUUUGGCAAUCGGCGGUGGCUCUGGUGUAGCGGCGGUUGAGGGUCGGCUUCCUUCUCCGGCGUCUGGUUCUUCUUCU